RNAcentral lists this ribosomal RNA (198 nucleotides) under uncultured bacterium. Its description in RNAcentral is "partial 16S ribosomal RNA". It matches the Rfam family "Bacterial small subunit ribosomal RNA", at positions 328 to 539 of the family's 1533-position model. The record is from RNAcentral.
ACGCUCGACACCUACGGGGGGCAGCAGUGGGGAAUAUUGCACAAUGGGGGAAACCCUGAUGCAGCGACGCCGCGUGAGCGAAGAAGUAUUUCGGUAUGUAAAGCUCUAUCAGCAGGGAAGAAACUGACGGUACCUGACUAAGAAGCACCGGCUAAAUACGUGCCAGUAGCCGCGGUAAUCUGAGCGGGCUGGCAAGGC